Molecule: ribosomal RNA, 301 nt
Filed under: uncultured bacterium
Lineage: Bacteria
Description: partial 16S ribosomal RNA
Rfam family: Bacterial small subunit ribosomal RNA
Source: RNAcentral
CAGUAGCCACGGGAAUACGUAGGGUGCAAGCGUUAAUCGGAAUUACUGGGCGUAAAGCGUGCGCAGGCGGUUGUGUAAGUCAGAUGUGAAAUCCCCGGGCUCAACCUGGGAACUGCAUUUGAGACUGUAUGGCUAGAGUGUGUCAGAGGGGGGUAGAAUUCCACGUGUAGCAGUGAAAUGCGUAGAUAUGUGGAGGAAUACCGAUGGCGAAGGCAGCCCCCUGGGAUAACACUGACGCUCAUGCACGAAAGCGUGGGGAGCAAACAGGAUUAGAGACCCCCGUAGUCCCUGUCUCUUAUAC